This 704-nucleotide long non-coding RNA is filed under the name Pan troglodytes (chimpanzee). Its description in RNAcentral is "long non-coding RNA NONPTRT009171". The record is from RNAcentral. Lineage: Eukaryota; Metazoa; Chordata; Mammalia; Primates; Hominidae.
GGGAAGUUUGGGGUGUGGGAAAUGGGACCUAUUUCCUUUGCUCUUGAGGUUAGGUUGAGCCAUCUGGCUCCCUGCCCUGCAGUUCCCAUAACUGAAGAGUUAUACAUCCCAUAACCCCUGCCCACUAGUGAACCCCUUCCUCAGCUCUGGGACUGAUUGUCUUCAAGCUGAGCACACACUGAGCACUGGGCCUGCCUUCUUCCUAACACAGGUUUUUGUAAGCUCCAGACAUUGGAUAAAGCAUUUUGAGGGAUAGGUGAAAACGAAAUCCUGCUCUUUACUCUUGAGAACUCACUCUGCUGUGGGAGGAGAGACAGGCAGGUAUAUCAAAGGGAAAAAUAGUAACAGUUCUGGUGGAGAGACCUGGUGAGCAACACCUUAAACCAAGUGAUGAAAGCUGAAAUCAGCAACACUGGGAUGAACCUGCAUCACGUUAUAGCGGAUGUGAUGCCCUGACAAGAGCACCAGUCCUGUUUGCAGCAUCACUGUCCCAGAUGCAUGCCUGAAUCUGUUCCUUAGGAUACAUCAGGAAACCCAAGCUGAGGAAUGUUCUACUAAAUAAAUGAUCUCUACUCUUCAAAAACAUGUGGGUCAAGUGACGGGUGCCGAGGAGAGGGAGAGGGUCUAGGAAGACCCUAGUUGGGACAAUUCAAAUGUGGCCUGUGCAUUUCAUACUGGUACUGUUCAAUGUGAAAUUUCUUGAU